This 207-nucleotide ribosomal RNA is filed under the name uncultured bacterium. RNAcentral's name for it is "partial 16S ribosomal RNA". It matches the Rfam family "Bacterial small subunit ribosomal RNA", at positions 568 to 774 of the family's 1533-position model. The record is from RNAcentral.
UGCGUAGGCGGUGAGAUAAGAUAGAUGUGAAAUCCCCGGGCUUAACUCGGGUAUUGCAUUUGUGACUGUCUUGCUAGAGUGCAGGAGAGGAAAGCGGAAUUCCUAGUGUAGCGGUGAAAUGCGUAGAUAUUAGGAGGAACACCGGUGGCGAAGGCGGCUUUCUGGACUGUAACUGACGCUGAAGCACGAAAGCGUGGGGAGCAAACA